UACGGAGGAUGCAAGCGUUAUCCGGAAUGAUUGGGCGUAAAGCGUCCGCAGGUGGCAAUGUAAGUCUGCUGUCAAAGCGUCUGGCUCAACCAGAUAAAGGCAGUGGAAACUACAUAGCUAGAGUAAGGUAGGGGUAGAGGGAAUUCCUGGUGUAGCGGUGAAAUGCGUAGAGAUCAGGAAGAACACCGGUGGCGAAAGCGCUCUGCUGGACCUUAACUGACACUGAGGGACGAAAGCUAGGGGAGCAAACGGG
This 253-nucleotide ribosomal RNA is filed under the name uncultured bacterium. RNAcentral describes it as "partial 16S ribosomal RNA". It matches the Rfam family "Bacterial small subunit ribosomal RNA", at positions 524 to 776 of the family's 1533-position model. The record is from RNAcentral.